Molecule: transfer RNA, 79 nt
Filed under: Rhodococcus rhodochrous
Lineage: Bacteria; Bacillati; Actinomycetota; Actinomycetes; Mycobacteriales; Nocardiaceae
Description: tRNA-Arg(ccg)
Source: RNAcentral
CGAACCGCUGCUCGGGGACCCGGUGCGGGUCGGGCUCCGGAUCCGGGGGCAGCGGUUCAUCGAUCCGCCGCGGUUCGUC